This is a long non-coding RNA of Homo sapiens (human), 1408 nucleotides long. Ensembl annotates it as long intergenic non-protein coding RNA 1370. The record is from Ensembl. Lineage: Eukaryota; Metazoa; Chordata; Mammalia; Primates; Hominidae.
CUCUCUCACCUUCAUUGUCAUUUUAGAAGAAACUACCAUUUGGUGUCCUGCUGAGACAAGAAAAUAUUUUCACAACUCAAGACAAGUUAAAUAUCCACUUAUGGGAACAGUGCUGAAGGCCUGGACUAGGAUGGUAGCAAUGGAGACAGACUAAAGAAAGAGAUGCAAUCAUUCCCUUGCAUAUGGUCCGUAUGAAGACGGGAUCAUUACAGGAAAGGUUCCAUAUGGAGAGGACUGAUGAAGCCAGCAUUAGGCGUGAUGGGGACGUGCAUAAAUGUGUAUGUUAUCCACUGAGACACAGAUUCUGAAGCACCAGAACAUUAAAGGCACUUCUACUUGUUUCUUCUACCCAGCUGAAAGGACAGAAAGCUUCUUCCACAGAGCCAGGACAGUCCAGGGGAACGUAGUCCUUCGACUGAAAGCUAUGCUUCCUAUUUUCUAACAAAGAGGCUAGGUCAUGUUGACCACCCAGUUUUGGCCUGCCUGGCUUGCUUUUUAUUCCAGCCUGGAGGACUUUCAGGGUUGAAUAUCCACUCAAGCCAAAUCCCAAGAAGCAUAACCUGCUAUUAGACUCUUGUCACUUAUCGGGUGAGGGGCUGUGCGGCUGUUCCAGUGCUUCCCCACUUGGGUCUUGUGACAUACCCUGGGGCCAAGCCAAGCCCUGGAGGUUAGCUUCUACAGUCUGUCCUUAAAGAGAGCUCAGGGAUGUCUGGACAGGACCUGGAGACAGUGCCCUGGGCCAGAGACCUCUGAUCUCUAGGCCAGCAGAGUCACCAUGCAGACAGAUUUAUGAGCCUUAGGCAAAACAGCUGGCAUUCCUGUGGCCAUCUUUCUACCCCUUCCUUUCCACAUGACCAUAUCCUUGGCCAGAUCUUCAUGUCCUUAGAUGGCUGUUGCCUUUGGGUAAAUUGGCAAUUAAGAUAAAUGAGCAUAUUUAUCAUGGCCUUGUGGUUACCCCUCCUGAAGCUCUCAGGGUGGCAAGCUGCCUGACCCUCCUACUAUGAACUUAGUAACUUUAAAACAGAGAGUAUCUUUUCUUGCCCAGCUGAAAUUUCCUCCCCAGGCGACCUACUUUUAGGAUUAAUAUGCGGGAAAGUCUGCAGUUUUGUUUUCAGUGAGGGUAGUUGUGUUUUCAAGGAAAGAGGUAGCGCCUUACAGUCAGAUUAGCCAGCUUUAUUUCUUUCAUCAACCCUUUACUGGCUUUCUAAAUUUUUUCAAGUAACUUCACCUCUCUGAGUUUCAUUUACCUCAUUACCUUCAUCAGGUAAGAUGACAUAUGAAAAGCCCUUCUCAAGCAACUGCAAAGUUCCAAUUAAUAGAAGAAAUUGUAAUGACUAUCUGUGUUUGAAGCGGGGCCAUUUUUCUUAUUUGGAAUUUUCACGUAUUAAAAAUAUGGAUCCUUUACACC